RNAcentral lists this ribosomal RNA (230 nucleotides) under uncultured bacterium. RNAcentral describes it as "partial 16S ribosomal RNA". It matches the Rfam family "Bacterial small subunit ribosomal RNA", at positions 104 to 334 of the family's 1533-position model. The record is from RNAcentral.
CGAGGGUGAGUAAUGUCUGGGAAACUGCCCGAUGGAGGGGGAUAACUACUGGAAACGGUAGCUAAUACCGCAUAACGUCGCAAGACCAAAGAGGGGGACCUUCGGGCCUCUUGCCAUCGGAUGUGCCCAGAUGGGAUUAGCUAGUAGGUGGGGUAACGGCUCACCUAGGCGACGAUCCCUAGCUGGUCUGAGAGGAUGACCAGCCACACUGGAACUGAGACACGGUCCAG